CUCCCAUUGUGGAGCUGGCUUGGGAGGAGCACUGUGAGCUGUGGUCAGAGCUGCUACAGACGUUCACGAUGCAGGUGACAUUGACCUGGGUCCCAUGGCCACCAGGGGAAGAAUCUGAGCUCCCGGUGCUGGCCCGGGCCUCCCCGGCCCCACUGGCCUCCACGCCUGGUGCCUGUGGCUGGUUCCGAGUGGGCGCCCUUCUG
Molecule: long non-coding RNA, 203 nt
Filed under: Homo sapiens (human)
Lineage: Eukaryota; Metazoa; Chordata; Mammalia; Primates; Hominidae
Description: LNC_000270
Source: RNAcentral